CAAAAAAAUGAAAGACAUGGCCGUAAUCCACAACCCAGUAGUGACAGGCGUCCAGCGACAGUUCGAUUCUACCCGUUCGAUUCCACCUGUCCAUUCAAUGGU
This 102-nucleotide small RNA is filed under the name Thalassiosira gravida. RNAcentral describes it as "partial Betaproteobacteria transfer-messenger RNA". The record is from RNAcentral. Lineage: Eukaryota; Bacillariophyta; Thalassiosirophyceae; Thalassiosirales; Thalassiosiraceae.